Rhodamnia argentea is the source of this 1631-nucleotide RNA transcript. RefSeq lists it as uncharacterized. The transcript is spliced from 8 exons. Lineage: Eukaryota; Viridiplantae; Streptophyta; Magnoliopsida; Myrtales; Myrtaceae. The record is from RefSeq and is a predicted model, not a curated record.
ACAAGGUGAGCUCUCCAAUUGUCGUACCUCCUCUCCCUCUCUCUCUCUCUCUCUCGGAUACACUCACACGCGCAGAGUGAGAAUGGAUGGUGGACUUCCCAUGCUGAAUUGUCUGCUGCAGCACACCUUGAGGAGCAUAUGUUCAUGUUCGUCGGAUCCUUCUGAUUCCUCCAAGUGGGUUUAUGCUGUUUUUUGGAGGAUCUUGCCUCGUAACUACCCUCCACCAAAGUGGGAGUUUGGAGGGGGUGCCAUUGACAGAACCAAAGGGAACAAAAGAAAUUGGAUUCUUGUUUGGGAAGACGGGUUCUGCGAUUUCUGCGAGUGCGAGAAGGUGGGAGGUGGAUACACGAAGGGAAGGUUUGGACCGGAGGUCUUCUUCAAAAUGUCUCAUGAGGUCUACAGUUAUGGCGAAGGAUUGGUUGGGAAAGUGGCAGCAGAUAACAGCCACAGAUGGGUGUGGAGAGACGCCGGCGAGAGUGAUCCGAACUUCAUCUCCUCCGGGAACAUGUCAAUUGAGCCUCAACCAAAGGCGUGGGAGGUUCAAUUCAAUACCGGCAUUCAGACAAUUGCCAUUAUUUCGGUACGAGAAGGCAUAGUUCAGCUUGGAUCAUUGGAUCAGAUAGCGGAAGAUCUUAAUUUGGUGAUCAGCAUACAGAGAAAAUUCAGCUAUCUCCAGAGCAUUCCCGGCGUUUUCGCGAUACAAAGGCCAUACCUACCUUUCCAAGAUCCCUACCUCCGCAAGUCCCAUAUCUCCAUCACCGAACACCACGAGACAUUUUACUUGGAGGAUGAGAAAUGCCAAUUCAUUGGCGCCAAAAGGUUGUUCGAGGAAGCACCGGAUAGUUGGCCAGUCAAGUCGAUCAAUCUUGGUUGGAACACCCCGCAGUACGGUGUCCAAGGCCCAUCCAUGUGGCCAAUCCCGCCCCUUCUGUCAAAGCUACCUCCCAUGAUCCCGGCUUAUAACCCCAUCGAACCUCCCGAUCCAGCUAUCAGUGACAGGAACAGCAUCGGCAAUGGGUGCCAGACAGCAAAAACGCAUGAAAACCAAGUUCAGAUUGGUGAUGUGAAAGUGGAGCCUUCAUGUCACCUGGAUGCUAUUAGUGAAGAAAAGCCAACGUCCCCAAACUGUGAGUUCAACGUGAAAGACCAGGUACUUGUCGGACUAGGAUUUGAGCAUGUUAGGGAUGGAGAACAGUCGCCGAAUCUUAAUUAAUUAGGAAAGCCGAAACGCCACAUAAUUAUGAAGCAGACGUAGACAGAGCUCUUUCUGGCUCCGAGCGGCCGGUUGGUAGAACACCAGUAGUUAUGCAUCAGCCUGCGAAGCCAAAAUUAUGCUCCUGAUACGUACUGAAGGCUGCAUAUAUUAUGACAAACUUCGGAGCCUUAGCUCGAAUUUAGCAUCUAUUUGUUCUGGAUCACGGUCAGCUAAUCUCGCGGCAGAUCGUGCAGCAUCCUCCGUCCACAGUUGAAUCAAACAACUGGAUUGGCCCAAUUCCUUUUUGUUCCAUCCCUAUCGUUGUGGGAGUACAUGACCUCCACCAUUAUGUGAUGGUCCCCCUGAACAUACUGAUAGGAAAAGGACACAGCAAAUUGUUCAUUGGACGAAGUUGUGUGCAACAUUUGAGCACUUG